This 206-nucleotide ribosomal RNA is filed under the name uncultured bacterium. RNAcentral describes it as "partial 16S ribosomal RNA". It matches the Rfam family "Bacterial small subunit ribosomal RNA", at positions 1287 to 1500 of the family's 1533-position model. The record is from RNAcentral.
CCCAGUUCGGACUGGAGUCUGCAACCCGACUCCACGAAGUUGGAUUCGCUAGUAAUCGCGCAUCAGCCAUGGCGCGGUGAAUACGUUCCCGGGCCUUGUACACACCGCCCGUCAAGCCAUGGGAGCCGGGGGCGCCUGAAGUCCGGGACCGCGAGGACCGGCCUAGGGCGAAACUGGUGACUGGGGCUAAGUCGUAACAAGGUAAC